This 294-nucleotide ribosomal RNA is filed under the name uncultured bacterium. Its description in RNAcentral is "partial 16S ribosomal RNA". It matches the Rfam family "Bacterial small subunit ribosomal RNA", at positions 355 to 641 of the family's 1533-position model. The record is from RNAcentral.
UAGGGAAUCUUCCACAAUGGACGCAAGUCUGAUGGAGCAACGCCGCGUGAGUGAAGAAGGUUUUCGGACCGUAAAGCUCUGUUGUUGGUGAAGAAGGAUAGAGGUAGUAACUGGCCUUUAUUUGACGGUAAUCAACCAGAAAGUCACGGCUAACUACGUGCUAGCAGCCGCGGUAAUACGUAGGUGGCAAGCGUUGUCCGGAUUUAUUGGGCGUAAAGCGAGCGCAGGCGGAAGAAUAAGUCUGAUGCGAAAGCCCUCGGCUUAACCGAGGAAUUGCAUCGGAAACUGUUUUUC